Molecule: ribosomal RNA, 435 nt
Filed under: uncultured Anaerolineaceae bacterium
Lineage: Bacteria; Bacillati; Chloroflexota; Anaerolineae; Anaerolineales; Anaerolineaceae
Description: bacterial SSU rRNA
Rfam family: Bacterial small subunit ribosomal RNA
Source: RNAcentral
GCAGCGGAGCGUGUGUUAAUUCGUUGCUACACGAAGAACCUUACUGGGUUUGACAUAUAGGUUGUAGGGAACUGAAAAGGGACCGACCCUUCGGGAGCCUAUACAGGUGUUGCAUGGCUGUCGUCAGCUCGUGUCGUGAGAUGUUCGGUUAAGUCCGCUAACGAGCGCAACCCUCGUCGUAUGUUAUAUGUGUUAUACGAGACUGCCGGUAAAAGCCGGAGGAAGGUGAGGAUGAUGUCAAGUCAGCAUGACCUUUAUAUCCAGGGCUACACACACGCUACAAUGGUCUGUACAAUGGGUAGCCAAGCCGCGAGGCGGAGCCAAUCCUGAAAGCAGGCUUCAGUUCAGAUUGCAGUCUGCAACUCGACUGCAUGAAGCCGGAGUUGCUAGUAACCGCAGGUCAGCAAUACUGCGGUGAAUACGUUCCCGGGUCUU